AGAGUUUGAUCCUGGCUCAGAUUGAACGCUAGCGGGAUGCCUUACACAUGCAAGUCGAACGGCAGCACGGACUUCGGUCUGGUGGCGAGUGGCGAACGGGUGAGUAAUGUAUCGGAACGUGCCCAGUAGCGGGGGAUAACUACGCGAAAGCGUAGCUAAUACCGCAUACGCCCUACGGGGGAAAGCAGGGGAUCGCAAGACCUUGCACUAUUGGAGCGGCCGAUAUCGGAUUAGCUAGUUGGUGGGGUAACGACUCACCAAGGCGACGAUCCGUAGCUGGUUUGAGAGGACGACCAGCCACACUGGGACUGAGACACGGCCCAGACUCCUACGGGAGGCAGCAGUGGGGAAUUUUGGACAAUGGGGAAACUCUGAUCCAGCCAUCCCGCGUGUGCGAUGAAGGCCUUCGGGUUGUAAAGCACUUUUGGCAGGAAAGAAACGUCAUGGGUUAAUACCCCGUGAAACUGACGGUACCUGCAGAAUAAGCACCGGCUAACUACGUGCCAGCAGCCGCGGUAAUACGUAGGGUGCAAGCGUUAAUCGGAAUUACUGGGCGUAAAGCGUGCGCAGGCGGUUCGGAAAGAAAGAUGUGAAAUCCCAGAGCUUAACUUUGGAACUGCAUUUUUAACUACCGGGCUAGAGUGUGUCAGAGGGAGGUGGAAUUCCGCGUGUAGCAGUGAAAUGCGUAGAUAUGCGGAGGAACACCGAUGGCGAAGGCAGCCUCCUGGGAUAACACUGACGCUCAUGCACGAAAGCGUGGGGAGCAAACAGGAUUAGAUACCCUGGUAGUCCACGCCCUAAACGAUGUCAACUAGCUGUUGGGGCCUUCGGGCCUUGGUAGCGCAGCUAACGCGUGAAGUUGACCGCCUGGGGAGUACGGUCGCAAGAUUAAAACUCAAAGGAAUUGACGGGGACCCGCACAAGCGGUGGAUGAUGUGGAUUAAUUCGAUGCAACGCGAAAAACCUUACCUACCCUUGACAUGUCUGGAAUGCCGAAGAGAUUUGGCAGUGCUCGCAAGAGAACCGGAACAUAGGUGCUGCAUGGCUGUCGUCAGCUCGUGUCGUGAGAUGCUGGGUUAAGUCCCGCAACGAGCGCAACCCUUGUCAUUAGUUGCUACGAAAGGGCACUCUAAUGAGACUGCCGGUGACAAACCGGAGGAAGGUGGGGAUGACGUCAAGUCCUCAUGGCCCUUAUGGGUAGGGCUUCACACGUCAUACAAUGGUCGGGACAGAGGGUCGCCAACCCGCGAGGGGGAGCCAAUCCCAGAAACCCGAUCGUAGUCCGGAUCGCAGUCUGCAACUCGACUGCGUGAAGUCGGAAUCGCUAGUAAUCGCGGAUCAGCAUGUCGCGGUGAAUACGUUCCCGGGUCUUGCACACACCGCCCGUCA
RNAcentral lists this ribosomal RNA (1389 nucleotides) under uncultured bacterium. RNAcentral describes it as "bacterial SSU rRNA". It matches the Rfam family "Bacterial small subunit ribosomal RNA". The record is from RNAcentral.